AGCGAACGCUGGCGGCAGGCCUAACACAUGCAAGUCGAACGAAGUCUUCGGACUUAGUGGCGGACGGGUGAGUAACACGUGGGAGCGUGCCCUUUGGUACGGAAUAACUCAGGGAAACUUGAGCUAAUACCGUAUGUGCCCUUCGGGGGAAAGAUUUAUCGCCAUUGUGGCGGCCCGCGUCUGAUUAGAUAGUUGGUGAGGUAAAGGCUCACCAAGGCGACGAUCAGUAGCUGGUCUGAGAGGAUGAUCAGCCACACUGGGACUGAGACACGGCCCAAACUCCUACGGGAGGCAGCGGUGGGGAAUCUUGCGCAAUGGGCGAAAGCCUGACGCAGCCAUGCCGCGUGAAUGAUGAAGGUCUUAGGAUUGUAAAAUUCUUUCACCGGGGACGAUAAUGACGGUACCCGGAGAAGAAGCCCCGGCUAACUUCGUGCCAGCCGCCGCCGUAA
RNAcentral lists this ribosomal RNA (449 nucleotides) under uncultured bacterium. Its description in RNAcentral is "partial 16S ribosomal RNA". It matches the Rfam family "Bacterial small subunit ribosomal RNA", at positions 29 to 523 of the family's 1533-position model. The record is from RNAcentral.